AGUGAACGCUGGCGGUAGGCCUAACACAUGCAAGUCGAACGGCAGCACAGUAAGAGCUUGCUCUUACGGGUGGCGAGUGGCGGACGGGUGAGGAAUACAUCGGAAUCUACUUUUUCGUGGGGGAUAACGUAGGGAAACUUACGCUAAUACCGCAUACGACCUACGGGUGAAAGCAGGGGAUCUUCGGACCUUGCGCGAUUGAAUGAGCCGAUGUCGGAGUAGCUAGUUGGCGGGGUAAAGGCCAACCAAGGCGGCGAUCCGUAGCUGGUCUGAGAGGAUGAUCGGCCACACUGGAGCUGAAACACGGUCCAGACUCCUACGGGAGGCAGCAGUGGGGAAUAUUGGACAAUGGGCGCAAGCCUGAUCCAGCCAUACCGCGUGGGUGAAGAAGGCCUUCGGGUUGUAAAGCCCUUUUGUUGGGAAAGAAAAGCAGCAGGUUAAUACCCCGCUGUUCUGACGGUACCCAAAGAAUAAGCACCGGCUAACUUCGUG
Molecule: ribosomal RNA, 492 nt
Filed under: uncultured bacterium
Lineage: Bacteria
Description: partial 16S ribosomal RNA
Rfam family: Bacterial small subunit ribosomal RNA
Source: RNAcentral